UUUUAAACGAACACAUUGUGGGGAUUACAACAUAGAGAGUGAUACAUGAGAACAUCAACACGAACUGUUUGUUCUAAGCUGAUAGGGUGGGUAACUAGAUUUUCUACUGGUUCUCCGGUUAUGACAGGUCGUAGAAGCGUGCAGUAGGACGUCUUCGAUAAUUAAGUUUAACCAAACAUCACAUGGAGCUGAAUCAGAACUAUAGGGUGGAUGUGACCUUGAAAUAGUCUGUUACGAUGGACGAUUUGUGUGCCUGUGCAUUGUUAUGGACAAUCUUGACCCGUCUAGUACGGGUGGCUGGACAAGCAGUUUUAGAAUGUUUAAUGACCUUAGAUAUGACAUUUUCAUUAUAGAACUGACAAGUAUUAUUCGUAUAUUCUGUAUUUUAAGGACUGGAAAUUCAAUAGAAAUGGAAUUAUAAUGUAGAUAUAAAAACUAAACUUUAA
This is a long non-coding RNA of Ostrea edulis (European flat oyster), 446 nucleotides long. RefSeq lists it as uncharacterized. Lineage: Eukaryota; Metazoa; Mollusca; Bivalvia; Ostreida; Ostreidae. The record is from RefSeq and is a predicted model, not a curated record. The transcript is spliced from 2 exons.